GACAGAGGUGCCAAGCGUUAGGCGGAAUCACUGGGCUUAAAGCGUGUGUAGGUGGAUGUCUAAGUACCUUGUGAAAUCCCACAGCUCAACUGUGGAACUGCUUGGUAUACUGGAUGUCUUGAGCCACUUAGGGGCUACCGGAACAAAUGGUGGAGCGGUGAAAUGCGUAGAUAUCAUUUGGAACGCCAAUGGUGAACACAGGUAGCUGGGAGUGUGCUGACACUGAGACACGAAAGCCAGGGGAGCGAACGGG
Molecule: ribosomal RNA, 253 nt
Filed under: uncultured bacterium
Lineage: Bacteria
Description: partial 16S ribosomal RNA
Rfam family: Bacterial small subunit ribosomal RNA
Source: RNAcentral